Lampris incognitus (smalleye Pacific opah) is the source of this 881-nucleotide long non-coding RNA. RefSeq lists it as uncharacterized. The record is from RefSeq and is a predicted model, not a curated record. The transcript has 3 exons. Lineage: Eukaryota; Metazoa; Chordata; Actinopteri; Lampriformes; Lampridae.
CUAGAAUCCCGGGGUCUGCGAGGACACUCCGGGGGGGCCCAGAGGACAGGCCCGGGAAUCCGAGGGGGCACAGGAGACACUGAGGAGGGGAGAGACACAGGGUCAGAAUGGCACGACAACUGGAAGCACAGAAAGACAGAAGUGUAAACCAGGCAGGAGACUGUGGAGCUUUCUGGAAGACAUAAGACGGAACUGAACCCGGUGACAUGAAUCAGGUUUCCAGGGUAAAAACGGAGCAGUGGGCAGCUGCAGCACCCAGGGACCAACUCCACUUCUUCUAUCCCAAGCCUUGCUCAGGGGCAGACAGGAGUAUUAACCCUAACAUGUAGGUCUUUUUGAUGGUGGGAGGAAACCAGAGCACCCGGAGGAAACCCACACAGACACGGGGAGAACAUGCAAACUCCACACAGAAAGGACCUGGGAUGGUCUGGGAUUUGAACCCACAACCUUUUUAUUAUGAGGAAACAGUGCUAACCACUGGGCCACCAUGCCACCUUUUUUUUUUUUAAUUUAUUUCUGAUUUUUCCCUUUUCCUCCCAAUUUAGUGGCCAAUCGAUCUGUAUUUUAGUUCAAACACCCACCCUCGUACUGCAUGCGUUCGCCAACUGCAUCUCUCCGGUCGGCAGUCUGGAAGGAGACGCCUCCCCACUUUCGUGACAAGGCGACUCCAGGCCGAACCACUGCUUUUUCCGACACACACAGAGACACAUUCAUGUGAUGAACACAAGCCGACUCCACCCCCCUCCCCAAGACAGCGCUGCCAAUUACUGCUGCUUCACCGAGUCCGGCCAUAGUCGGACCUGACGAGACCGGGGCGCGAACCCCGGUCCCCAGUGGGCAACUGCAUCGACACAAAGUCAAUGCUUAGACCGCUACACCAC